GACCAGACUCCUACGGGAGGCAGCAGUGGGGGAUAUUGCACAAUGGGGGAAACCCUGAUGCAGCGACGCCGCGUGAGCGAUGAAGUAUUUCGGUAUGUAAAGCUCUAUCAGCAGGGAAGAAAAUGACGGUACCUGACUAAGAAGCCCCGGCUAACUACGUGCCAGCAGCCGCGGUAAUACGUAGGGGGCAAGCGUUAUCCGGAUUUACUGGGUGUAAAGGGAGCGUAGACGGCAUGGCAAGUCAGAUGUGAAAGCCCGGGGCUCAACCCCGGGACUGCAUUUGAAACUGUCAGGCUGGAGUGCAGGAGAGGUAAGUGGAAUUCCUAGUGCAGCGGUGAAAUGCGUAGAUAUUAGGAGGAACACCAGUGGCGAAGGCGGCUUACUGGACUGUAACUGACGUUGAGGCUCGAAAGCGUGGGGAGCAAACAGGAUUAGAUACCCGAGUA
This 446-nucleotide ribosomal RNA is filed under the name uncultured bacterium. Its description in RNAcentral is "partial 16S ribosomal RNA". It matches the Rfam family "Bacterial small subunit ribosomal RNA", at positions 329 to 792 of the family's 1533-position model. The record is from RNAcentral.